GACAGGGUUUUAGUCACUUUCUCUGCACCACCAGUACCAACACCUCUGUGCUUACCGGGCAGAACUAAUCCCCAGAAUUAGAAAUGGAUGAACACAGCUGGGCAGGAGAAGCACCCAGGACUUUUGAAGGAAGAACACUGUGAAAGGUUGUGAGGCCGCAGGCUCCCUACCUGCCCUGUGGAAAGGAUAAUAAUCAAAAGCCAUCCUCCUGAAGGUCAGCUGGAUGGCACCGCCCAGCAUCCCAUGCUUCAGAGCACCUGUGAGGAACAGAGCAGAGGAAACCAUGGUCAGCUCUGCAAUCCAAGCCCUGACCCAGGAGAAUCCAGAACCACCUUGCUCUGACUACCACCACAGCCAGGAUUAGGGUCCCAUCUUUAGGAAUCUGCACCAAAACCUUGUCCUAGGCCAGGAGAAGGACACCUGAAUCAACAGUUUAUAUGCUAAAAAUCAGGCUGCCAGGCUUUCAGCUCCCAGUAAGGAGAUGACAGCUCUCCUCAGGAUGUUCAAACAGAUUGAAAAACUCACUCCAUCCACGAGAUCCUCCCCUGGGAAAGAAACUGCUUUGACAUUUGGUAAGAACACAGCCGUCUCUCACAGAAAACAUGGAGAGAUACAAGAGUUUGGGCUCAACAUUUCUAUAGGGAGAGAAGGGCUGUUGAGGACUGUGGGAGGAAAUAUUCAUCAUCUCUGCACCAGGCAGUGAGACCACAUCCUGCAAAGCAUGGA
This is a long non-coding RNA of Passer montanus (Eurasian tree sparrow), 726 nucleotides long. RefSeq lists it as uncharacterized. The transcript has 3 exons. The record is from RefSeq and is a predicted model, not a curated record. Lineage: Eukaryota; Metazoa; Chordata; Aves; Passeriformes; Passeridae.